GCUUACGGCCACACCGGCCUGAGUACGCCUGAUCUCGUCCGAUCUCGGAAGCUAAGCAGGUCGGGCCUGGUUAGUACUUGGAUGGGAGACCGCCUGGGAUACCAGGUGCUGUAAGCU
Molecule: ribosomal RNA, 117 nt
Filed under: Oncorhynchus mykiss (rainbow trout)
Lineage: Eukaryota; Metazoa; Chordata; Actinopteri; Salmoniformes; Salmonidae
Source: RNAcentral